Molecule: small nuclear RNA, 104 nt
Organism: Sarcophilus harrisii (Tasmanian devil)
Lineage: Eukaryota; Metazoa; Chordata; Mammalia; Dasyuromorphia; Dasyuridae
Source: Ensembl
GUAUUAUAUGAAAGGAGAGAAUGUUAACACUCCCCUUGAUAAGAGUGAAAGAGUUGUUAGUGGUAAGGCAUUGCCACCUACUCUGUGGCAUUUAACUAUGGUAC